UUCUAUAAGAGAAAAAAAGUCUAGGUUACCUUGGCCUUUUAGAUAUGACACCAAAAGCAUGAUCUAUGAAAGCAAAAACUAAUUAGUUGGACUUUAUUAAUAUUUAAAAGUUCUGGGGACGCCUUGGUAGCUCAGUGAGCGCCCCAUCCAACUCUUAAUUUUGACUCAGGUCAUGAUCUCACGGGUUCGUGGGUUCGAGCCCCACAGUGGACUCUGCUCUGGGCCUGCUUGGGAUUCUCUGUCUCCCCCUCCCUCUGCCCCUCCCCUGCUCAUGUGCUCUCUAUCUCAAAAUAAAAUAAAUAAAUAAAAUUUUUAAAAAAGUUAAAACUUCUGUCCUGCAAAAGACACUAUUACAAGAAUGAAAAGACAAGCCAGAGACCGGGAGAGAAAUCUUCGCAGAACACACACCUGGUAAAAGGGACUUGCAUUAAAAAUACAUAAAGAAUUCUUCAAAGGAAUUCAACCAUAAGAAAACAGCUCAAUUUAAGAAGAAAGAGACAGAGGAUUGGAAUAGACUCCUCACUAAAAAAGACAAUACGGAUGGCAAAUAAUCAUAUUUAAAAAUGCUGGAUCUUAUAGGUUAAGGAAUUGCAAAUUAAAACAGCAAUGAGACACCACUCUACACCUAUUGGAAUUAUUAAAAUCCAAAAAAACCUGAUAAUACCAAAUGCUGGUGAAGAUGUGAAGUAACAGGGGUCCUCACUGAUUGCUGUGGGAACGCAAAUGGCACAGUCACUUGGGAAGUCAGCGCUUAGCAAAGCUAAACAUAGUUUAGCAGAAUCCAGCAGUUGUGUUCCUAGGUAUUUACCCAAAUGAGAUGAAAACUGUCCACACAAAAGCCUGCACUUGCAUAUUUAUAGCAGCUUUAGUCAUAAUUAGUCAACACCAGAAACAAUCAAGAUGUCCCUUAAUAUAUGCAUGAAUAGGGGUGCCUGGGUGGCUCAGUUGGUUAAGCAUCCGACUUUGGCUCAGGUCAUGAUCUCGCGGUUUGUGAGUUUAAGGCCUGCCUCGGGCUCUGUGCUGACACCUCAGAACCUGGAACCUGCUUCGGAUUCUGUGUCUCCCUCUCUCUCUGCCCCUCCCCUGCUCAUGCUCAGUCUCUCUCUGUCUCUCAAAAAUAAAUAAAUGUUAAAAAUUUUUUUAAAUAUGCAUGGAUAAAUAAACCGUGCUACAUUCAUACAAUGGAACACUACUCAGUGAUAAAAAGAAAUGAACUAUCAAGUCAUGAAGAGAUGUGGAGAAAUCUUAAAUGCAUACUGCUAAGUGAAAGAACCAAGUCUGAAAAGGCUCCCUACUGUUUGAUUCCAACUAUAGGACAUUCUGGAAAAGGCAACAUCAUCGAGAUAAGAGAAAGGUCAGCAUUUGUCAGGGUUUCUGUGCUGAGAUGGAGGGUAAUGAAUAGAAGAAGCAUAAGGAUUUUUCAGGUGGUGAACAAGUUUGUAUGAUCCUUUAAUGUUGGAUACACGACAUCCCAAGUUAUUUCUCCCUAUACUUCUAAGUUUUCUCCUUUUUGGACCAAAAGAAAAGGAUGUCUCAGAGACAGGGGAGGCAGGAAAAGGGCAAAAGAAAAGGGUAAUACAACAUACAGUGCAACAUGUGAUUCCUUUGUACCAUUCUUCACAAAAUUACUUUUCCUCCCUGUUACAAUACCCUGAGUUACUUGCCGUCAUCCACUUAGAAAAUUCAAUUAUAAAAUAUCUGUUUAAUAUCUGAAAUGUCUGAAGUUCAAUAUGAACCCCAGGGGAACUUUUCAUGAAGCCCAUGUAAAUACAUCCUUGUUUGGACUGCUUCUGGUGUGUUGAAUCACAAAUAGAGCUGUUUUGUUUUGCUGUAAUCCAUAGCACAAAAUGCAAUUGAUCUUAGUGUAGAGGACAGAUACUGUGAUAUGGCUUAUGUCAAGAUGACUUGAAACUUUUCAUCCUUUUUUCACUUAUGUUAUUUCUUUAUAACAUAUAAGAAAAGACAUUUAAAACUGUUUGUUUAUUUUGAGAGAGAGAGAGAGAGAGCACAAGUAGGGGAGGAGCAGGGAGAGAAGGAGAGAGAGAAUCCCAAGCAGACUUCACAGUCAGCACAGAGCCCAACACAGGGCUCCAUGCCACACACUGUGAGAUCAUGACCUAAGCCAAAAUCAAGGGGCGCUUAACCGACUAAGCCACCCAGGUGCCCCAAGAAAAGCCAUUUUUGUUCAUAUCAGAAAAGACUUGGGGGAUGUCUGGGUGGCUCAGUCGGUUAAGCAUCUGACUUCGGCUCAGGUCAUGAUCUUGCAGUUCGUGGGUUCGAGCCCCUCAUCGGACUCUGUGCUGACAGCUCAGAGCCUGGAGCCUGCUUCAGAUUCUCUCUCUCUCUCUCUCUCUCUCUCUCUCUCUCUC
This is a long non-coding RNA of Acinonyx jubatus (cheetah), 2369 nucleotides long. RefSeq lists it as uncharacterized. NCBI's taxonomy places the organism in Eukaryota, Metazoa, Chordata, Mammalia, Carnivora, Felidae. The record is from RefSeq and is a predicted model, not a curated record. The transcript has 2 exons.